Molecule: ribosomal RNA, 1566 nt
Filed under: Actinomyces oris
Lineage: Bacteria; Bacillati; Actinomycetota; Actinomycetes; Actinomycetales; Actinomycetaceae
Description: bacterial SSU rRNA
Rfam family: Bacterial small subunit ribosomal RNA
Source: RNAcentral
UUUUGUUUGGAGAGUUUGAUCCUGGCUCAGGACGAACGCUGGCGGCGUGCUUAACACAUGCAAGUCGAACGGUGAAGGGGCCUGCUUUUGUGGGUCCUGGAUGAGUGGCGAACGGGUGAGUAACACGUGAGUAACCUGCCCCCUUCUUCUGGAUAACCGCAUGAAAGUGUGGCUAAUACGGGAUAUUCUGCGCCUGCUGCAUGGUGGGUGUGGGAAAGAUUGCGCCUUUGGGUGUUUUUGGUGGGGGAUGGGCUCGCGGCCUAUCAGCUUGUUGGUGGGGUGAUGGCCUACCAAGGCGGUGACGGGUAGCCGGCCUGAGAGGGUGGACGGUCACACUGGGACUGAGACACGGCCCAGACUCCUACGGGAGGCAGCAGUGGGGAAUAUUGCACAAUGGGCGCAAGCCUGAUGCAGCGACGCCGCGUGAGGGAUGGAGGCCUUCGGGUUGUGAACCUCUUUCGCCAGUGAAGCAGGCCUGCUCCUUUGUGGGUGGGUUGACGGUAGCUGGAUAAGAAGCGCCGGCUAACUACGUGCCAGCAGCCGCGGUAAUACGUAGGGCGCGAGCGUUGUCCGGAAUUAUUGGGCGUAAAGAGCUCGUAGGCGGCUGGUCGCGUCUGUCGUGAAAUCCUCUGGCUUAACUGGGGGCUUGCGGUGGGUACGGGCCGGCUUGAGUGCGGUAGGGGAGACUGGAACUCCUGGUGUAGCGGUGGAAUGCGCAGAUAUCAGGAAGAACACCGGUGGCGAAGGCGGGUCUCUGGGCCGUUACUGACGCUGAGGAGCGAAAGCGUGGGGAGCGAACAGGAUUAGAUACCCUGGUAGUCCACGCCGUAAACGUUGGGCACUAGGUGUGGGGGGCCUUUUCCGGGUCUUCCGCGCCGUAGCUAACGCAUUAAGUGCCCCGCCUGGGGAGUACGGCCGCAAGGCUAAAACUCAAAGGAAUUGACGGGGGCCCGCACAAGCGGCGGAGCAUGCGGAUUAAUUCGAUGCAACGCGAAGAACCUUACCAAGGCUUGACAUGUGCCGGUCGGCUCCGGAGACGGGGUUUCCUCCUUGUGGGGCCGGUUCACAGGUGGUGCAUGGUUGUCGUCAGCUCGUGUCGUGAGAUGUUGGGUUAAGUCCCGCAACGAGCGCAACCCUUGUCCCGUGUUGCCAGCACGUUGUGGUGGGGACUCGCGGGAGACUGCCGGGGUCAACUCGGAGGAAGGUGGGGAUGACGUCAAAUCAUCAUGCCCCUUAUGUCUUGGGCUUCACGCAUGCUACAAUGGCCGGUACAGAGGGCUGCGAUACCGUGAGGUGGAGCGAAUCCCUUAAAGCCGGUCUCAGUUCGGAUCGGUGUCUGCAACUCGACACCGUGAAGUUGGAGUCGCUAGUAAUCGCAGAUCAGCAACGCUGCGGUGAAUACGUUCUCGGGCCUUGUACACACCGCCCGUCACGUCAUGAAAGUCGGCAACACCCGAAGCCCGUGGCCCUACGGGGAGCGGUCGAAGGUGGGGCUGGUGAUUGGGACGAAGUCGUAACAAGGUAGCCGUACCGGAAGGUGCGGCUGGAUCACCUCCUUUCUAAGGA